RNAcentral lists this transfer RNA (69 nucleotides) under Marmota monax (woodchuck). RNAcentral's name for it is "tRNA.Val". Lineage: Eukaryota; Metazoa; Chordata; Mammalia; Rodentia; Sciuridae. The record is from RNAcentral.
GGGGUUGUAGCUCAGUGGUAGAGCACUUUCCUCACACAUAUGAGGCACUUCGUUCAACCCUCAGCAUCA